GCCCUGGUGGUGGAAUUGGUAGACACGCAGGACUUAAAAUCCUGUGAGCCGAAAAGCUCGUACCGGUUCGAUUCCGGUCCGGGGCA
RNAcentral lists this transfer RNA (86 nucleotides) under Bacteroidales bacterium. RNAcentral describes it as "tRNA-Leu". It matches the Rfam family "tRNA". From Rfam's summary of the family: Transfer RNA (tRNA) molecules are approximately 80 nucleotides in length. The record is from RNAcentral. Lineage: Bacteria; Pseudomonadati; Bacteroidota; Bacteroidia; Bacteroidales. RNAcentral also lists the same sequence under 1 other name.